ACAGCAGUCGCCGCGGGAAUACGUAGGGUGCAAGCGUUAAUCGGAAUUACUGGGCGUAAAGCGUGCGUAGGCGGCUAAUUGAGUCGGAUGUGAAAUCCCCGAGCUUAACUUGGGAAUUGCAUUCGAUACUGGUUAGCUAGAGUGUGGGAGAGGAUGGUAGAAUUCCAGGUGUAGCGGUGAAAUGCGUAGAGAUCUGGAGGAAUACCGAUGGCGAAGGCAGCCAUCUGGCCUAACACUGACGCUGAGGUACGAAAGCAUGGGGAGCAAACAGGAUUAGAUACCCCCGUAGUCCCUGUCUCUUAUAC
Molecule: ribosomal RNA, 305 nt
Filed under: uncultured bacterium
Lineage: Bacteria
Description: partial 16S ribosomal RNA
Rfam family: Bacterial small subunit ribosomal RNA
Source: RNAcentral